RNAcentral lists this ribosomal RNA (486 nucleotides) under Holoaden luederwaldti (Luderwaldt's highland frog). Its description in RNAcentral is "partial small subunit ribosomal RNA". It matches the Rfam family "Bacterial small subunit ribosomal RNA", at positions 837 to 1522 of the family's 1533-position model. The record is from RNAcentral. Lineage: Eukaryota; Metazoa; Chordata; Amphibia; Anura; Craugastoridae.
GCCUAAUCGUAAACUUUAACUUACACCCCCCCCGCCAGAGAACUACGAGCAAAGCUUCAAACUCAAAGGACUUGACGGCACUCCAUACCCCUCUAGAGGAGCCUGUCCUAUAAUCGAUACUCCCCGAUCAACCUCCCCACUUUUAGCCUCUCAGCCUGUAUACUUCCGUCGUCAGCUUACCCCGUGAGGGUCUCCAGUAAGCUCAAUGUUCCCCCACAAAACGCCAGGUCAAAGUGCAGCUUAUAGAGUGGAAAGAGAUGGGCUACACUUUCUAAACUAGAAGAAACGAAAAACACUUUGAAAUUGUGUUUGAAGGUGGAUUUAGCAGUAAAAAGAAAACACGAAUGUUCUCUUUAAAUCGGCAAUGGAAUGUGUACACACCGCCCGUCACCCUCUUCAAAACACACCAUUAGUUCAUAACAACCUUUGCAAUACAGAAGAGGCAAGUCGUAACAUGGUAAGUGUACCGGAAGGGGCACUUGGAAA